UCAACCCCAGGACCCUGAGAUCAUGAUUGAGCUGAAAGCAGAGCUAUGGAAGCAACUGGGAGAGAAACCAGGAACCCAGGAUGAGACCGCAGUAGGGGAGGGAACUCACCAAACCUGGAGUUCCUCAAUAAGGUCCCAUCUGUCCCUUACCUGGACCCUCCCUUACAGAAGGCAGUGUGCCAAUCAUGUGCCCUCUGUUCUCCAGACACUCUCCAGCAGCAGCAGAGAUCUAAUUGAUUCCCCAGAACACAUGACGAAACUUUGAUGCAGAGAAUUGGAUGGCUUAUCUGAGGACAUCUAGAGACGUCAGCUCACACGGGAGAACAGAAGGCCCUGGUACCAAAUAACAACGCAGAGGACGAAACUGAUUGUUACCUAACAAGACCUGUAGCCAGGGGAACUCGGAUGCUCAGAGAGGAUGAUGGGGUUCUCAUGGUUCAGUGCUCUGUCUGCUAUUUCCCUGUGGUUCUCUGCUUGCCGGAUGCCUGAUUCAGUUGUACUGUCUUAUAACGGGCAAUGCUCGGAGGCAUGGCUGGGUCAGAAAGAAGGGGCUUGCCAUUAGCCCUGAUUAUUUAAGCAAACUCUAAUUCUUCUUUCCCAGCACCCCGACUCUCCGCCCUAUACCCUAUACGCUUGCCACGUGCAGAAUGUCUGUGGGUUCCUAAGGGAAUGCUGGGCUCCCAGACAGCGGGGCUUUCCGCCCCUCCCCCAGCCCUCCCCAUGUGGGCUGUGGGGAAUGCAGUCGCAUCAUUUGCAUUUAUCAGGGAGAAUAUACCGCCUUGUCUGUAGCCUUUAGUCUGACUGAAUUGCUUUUCUGCUUCAUGAGACACACAGCGCGCCGGCCCAGUGCUCCCCUCUCCUCUUUACUGCACCAGCAUCGGCGCAACCCACUUUGCUCUCCAUCGCAUUUAUCAUAUUGAUCGUAUAAGAAAUAGAUCAUAAGCAGAAUGAAAUUACCGAAUGCAAUGAUCUGGGGCAUCCUAUGGACCAGAUCAAUCUUGGGGCAGCCAGGAAAAAAAGUCCCUUGCUGUGACGUUUUCCAAAGUUGAUUUUCAUUGCAAAUAGAAAUUUCCAUCAGCUGAGGUACCCAGCGGGGUCGGGGGUGGGGCAGUACAGGGUGGCAGAAUAGGAGCUUGAUAAGCCUCAUAAGGCUCAUUCAUUAGGAAGGAGACUUCCUUAGCUGCAACUCCCUUGAAAUGGAUGUUUGAGGCUCUAGUUGUAACAAUAUCCAUUUUCUCCUGCUUAUCUCUCAUUCUCCAAGUUGUUCUUCUUGUGUGUGUGUUUGGGGCAGGGAGGUGAUAUCGAAAAAAGGUAAGAUUCUCACUUAUUUAGAAGACUGUCAAGGACCCUUUCUAAUCUCCUGUGAACGCCUGGAGUGAGCGUGGCUGGUCUUUGUCACCCUGGCCCCAGCCUGUGGGUGUGGAGUGUCUGUGGGAGGCUGGAGUUUUAACAGCACUGUUUGUAGGGGACAGUGUGGGACUUGUUUAUUAAACCGCUUCUUGAAAACAUAAGCUUGAAGCCCCCACCCCUCCCAGAACUGAGGCUCCAGACAUGACCUCUGCCAUAAUAAGAACUUUCUCCCUGUCUGGAGACAAGGCUGCUGAGUUCAGCUGAGACUGGAAAUCCAAGUGAACAAGGUCCCUGGCAGCCUGCCACCCCCUCAGACUGAAGCAGAAACCCACAGUGGGAAUGUGGUCCGAGGCCCCGGUCACCCCCUUCCCACUGUGAAAUCCAUCCCCAGACGCUGAGACUCAGUGCUAUUGGCUUUGGCAACAUUCGUCAUGCCAAUAAACUCAUUGAAAUUGAAGAAACCAGAGGGGAAAGGAGAGCAGAAAAUAGAAGGGGGUGAGGACAGGGAGAGGGGGGAGGGUGUACAAAGAACAGCAGGGAAGAGGAGCUGCCCCCAAACCCUCCAGUGAGCUUAAUGGGAGAGAUGUCACGGAUGCCAAAUGGCUGAGUUCAUGGAGAAGAGAAGGCACAGGCACGAGCAGACCCCCUCCCUACCCCCAAACGCACCUCUGUUUGCUCCCGAUUCUGUUGAAGCUUCUAUACUCAUAGAAAUGUCUCUGGAAAGCUUCCCAUGACACAAAUGGCCGAGGAAAUGCCCAUGUACACAUACACACACACUCCACCACCAAUGGGAUAAUGAAGGAGAAAACAUCAUGAAAUAGACCAACCAUGACCAUGAGGGAAAUAUACCAGGCCCUUAGGACAUGUUUAAACCAGGGGAGACCUAAACUGCGGAGACACUGGGCAGAGCCGGGUUCCCGCUAGCACCACCGUCCCCCACCCCAGAACUGCUCUGGAGCUGCGUUCUGCCCUGAAUAUAAUUCUUCGAGUUCCAUAGUUUUCUAGAAUUAGGGAUGCUGCCUAGAGUUCAUCCAGGCCAGCUCAGCAUUGUUUUUCCUGGAUAUAUGAUUGCCUCUCCUAAUUUAAAAAAAAUUUUUUUUCUUUAAGAUU
Molecule: long non-coding RNA, 2460 nt
Organism: Mustela erminea (ermine)
Lineage: Eukaryota; Metazoa; Chordata; Mammalia; Carnivora; Mustelidae
Exons: 3
Source: RefSeq, a predicted model, not a curated record